GGCAGGAUGGCCCAAUGGUUAGGGCAUUAGCCUACAAUUUGGAAGACCUGGGUUAAAUUCCUUUCCCUGCCA
This 72-nucleotide transfer RNA is filed under the name Chelonia mydas (Green sea turtle). It matches the Rfam family "tRNA". Rfam says of the family: Transfer RNA (tRNA) molecules are approximately 80 nucleotides in length. Their secondary structure includes four short double-helical elements and three loops (D, anti-codon, and T loops). The record is from Rfam by way of RNAcentral. Lineage: Eukaryota; Metazoa; Chordata; Testudines; Cheloniidae.